GACGAACGCUGGCGGCGUGCUUAACACAUGCAAGUCGAGCGAUGAACCCGGAGCUUGCUCCGGUGGAUUAGUGGCGAACGGGUGAGUAACACGUGAGUAACCUGCCCUUGACUCUGGGAUAACUGCGGGAAACUGUAGCUAAUACCGGAUACGACCCUCGGCGGCAUCGCCAGGGGGUGGAAAGAAUGUUGGUCAAGGAGGGACUCGCGGCCUAUCAGCUAGUUGGUGAGGUAACGGCUCACACAGGCGACGACGGGGAGCCGGCCUGAGAGGGUGACCGGCCACACUGGGACUGAGACACGGCCCAGACUCCUACGGGGGGCAGCAGUGGGGAAUAUUGCACAAUGGGCGCAAGCCUGAUGCAGCAACGCCGCGUGAGGGAUGACGGCCUUCGGGUUGUAAACCUCUUUUAGUAGGGAAGAAGCGAAAGUGACGGUACCUGCAGAAAAAGCACCGGCUAACUACGUGCCAGCCGCCGCCGUAA
Molecule: ribosomal RNA, 484 nt
Filed under: uncultured bacterium
Lineage: Bacteria
Description: partial 16S ribosomal RNA
Rfam family: Bacterial small subunit ribosomal RNA
Source: RNAcentral